This 498-nucleotide ribosomal RNA is filed under the name uncultured bacterium. Its description in RNAcentral is "bacterial SSU rRNA". It matches the Rfam family "Bacterial small subunit ribosomal RNA", at positions 29 to 518 of the family's 1533-position model. The record is from RNAcentral.
AUGAACGCUAGCGACAGGCCUAACACAUGCAAGUCGAGGGGCAGCACAAGGAGCAAUCUGAGGUGGCGACCGGCGCACGGGUGAGUAACACGUAUGCAACCUGCCUGUAAGCGGGGAAUAACCCGUUGAAAGACGGACUAAUACCGCAUAAUACUAAAUUACUGCAUGGUAAUUUAUUUAAACAUUUAUGGCUUACAGAUGGGCAUGCGCAUGAUUAGCUAGUUGGAGAAGGUAACGGCUCCCCAAGGCAACGAUCAGUUAGGGGUUCUGAGAGGAAGGUCCCCCACACUGGUACUGAGACACGGACCAGACUCCUACGGGAGGCAGCAGUGAGGAAUAUUGGUCAAUGGACGAGAGUCUGAACCAGCCAAGUCGCGUGCAGGAAGAAUGUUCCCUAUGGAUUGUAAACUGCUUUUGCAGGGGAAUAAAGUGCAUCACGUGUGAUGUUUUGUAUGUACUCUGCGAAUAAGGAUCGGCUAACUCCGUGCCAGCAGCCGC